GUGAGUAAUGCACAGAUAAUCUACCUUUUUGAUCGGGGCAACCUCGGGAAACCGUGGCUAAUUCCGGAUAAGUCCUAGGAAACAUAAAGUCUUCUAGGGGAAAGUUGGCCUCUACUUGUAAGCUAGCGCGAAAAGAUGAAUCUGUGUCCCAUCAGCUUGUUGGUAAGGUAAAAGCUUACCAAGGCUAAGACGGGUAGCUGGUCUGAGAGGACGAUCAGCCACACUGGAACUGAAACACGGUCCAGACUCC
This 250-nucleotide ribosomal RNA is filed under the name uncultured bacterium. RNAcentral's name for it is "partial 16S ribosomal RNA". It matches the Rfam family "Bacterial small subunit ribosomal RNA", at positions 106 to 339 of the family's 1533-position model. The record is from RNAcentral.